CCUACGGGCGGCAGCAGUGGGGGAUAUUGCACAAUGGGGGGAACCCUGAUGCAGCGACGCCGCGUGAGUGAAGAAGCGCCUCGGCGCGUAAAGCUCUGUCAGCAGGGAAGAAAAUGACGGUACCUGACGAAGAAGCCCCGGCUAACUACGUGCCAGCAGCCGCGGCAAUACGUAGGGGGCAAGCGUUAUCCGGAUUUACUGGGUGUAAAGGGGGCGUAGGCGGCGAGGUAGGCCAGGAGUGAAAGCCCGCGGCGCAACCCCGGGACUGCUUUUGGAACUGCGUGGCUGGAGUGCAGGAGGGGCAGGCGGAAUGCCUGGUGUAGCGGUGAAAUGCGUAGAUAUCAGGAGGAACACCGGUGGCGAAGGCGGCCUACUGGACUGCAACUGACGUUGAGGCCCGAAAGCGUGGGGAGCAAACAGGAUUAGAUACCCUUGUAGUC
This 440-nucleotide ribosomal RNA is filed under the name uncultured bacterium. RNAcentral describes it as "partial 16S ribosomal RNA". It matches the Rfam family "Bacterial small subunit ribosomal RNA", at positions 338 to 795 of the family's 1533-position model. The record is from RNAcentral.